Molecule: ribosomal RNA, 702 nt
Filed under: uncultured bacterium
Lineage: Bacteria
Description: bacterial SSU rRNA
Rfam family: Bacterial small subunit ribosomal RNA
Source: RNAcentral
UGCAGUCGAACGAGAAGUCUCAGUUUCGAUCCUUCGGGAGAGAAAUUGAGGUGGAGAGUGGCGAAAGGGUGAGUAACGCGUGGGUAAUCUACCCCUAAGUCGGGGAUAACUUCGCGAAAGCGUAGCUAAUACCGGAUGUGAACCUUCAGCGCAUGUUGAAGAGUUUAAAGGCGGGGAUCCUUCGGGACCUGUCGCUUGGAGAGGGGCCCGCGUCCUAUCAGCUUGUUGGUGAGGUAACGGCUCACCAAGGCUAAGACGGGUAGCUGGUCUGAGAGGAUGGUCAGCCACACUGGGACUGAGACACUGCCCAGACUCCUACGGGAGGCUGCAGUCGAGGAUCAUUGGCAAUGCGCGAAAGCGUGACCAUGCGACGCUGCGUGGAGGAUGAAGGCCUUCGGGUCGUAAACUCCUGUCAUGAGGGAGUAACUGCUCUCAUCUGAAUAGGGUGAGGAACUUGAUAGUACCUCAAGAGGAAGUCACGGCUAACUCUGUGCCAGCAGCCGCGGUAAUACAGAGGUGGCGAACGUUGUUCGGAUUUACUGGGCGUAAAGGGUGCGUAGGUGGAUUCGUGUGUUGGAUGUGAAAUCCCAUGGCUCAACCGUGGAACUGCAUUCAAAACUGCGGAUCUAGGGUACAGAAGGGGAGAGCGGAAUUCUUGGUGUAGCGGUGAAAUGCGUUGAUAUCAAGAAGAACACCGGUGGC